CGUAGGUGGCAAGCGUUGUCCGGAUUUAUUGGGUUUAAAGGGUGCGUAGGCGGUGAUUUAAGUCAGUGAUGAAAUACUUCAGCUUAACUGGAGAGGUGCCAUUGAUACUGGGUCACUUGAGUACUGAUGAGGUAGGCGGAAUGGACGGUGUAGCGGUGAAAUGCUUAGAUAUCGUCCAGAACACCGAUAGCGAAGGCAGCUUACUAAGGAGUAACUGACGCUGAGGCACGAAAGUGUGGGGAUCAAACAGGAUUAGAUACCCUGGUAGUCCACACUGUAAACGAUGAUCACUCGAUGUUGGCGAUACACAGCCAGCGUCUUAGCAAAAGCGAUAAGUGAUCCACCUGGGAGUACGCCGGCAACGGUG
Molecule: ribosomal RNA, 367 nt
Filed under: uncultured organism
Description: bacterial SSU rRNA
Rfam family: Bacterial small subunit ribosomal RNA
Source: RNAcentral